Non-coding RNA from Chrysemys picta bellii (western painted turtle), 5182 nucleotides. The record is from RefSeq and is a predicted model, not a curated record. Lineage: Eukaryota; Metazoa; Chordata; Testudines; Emydidae.
GGGGCCCAAGAUGGCGGCGCGCUGGAGCAGCGAGAAUGUGGUGGUGGAGUUCCGGGACUCGCAAACUCGCCUGCCUAUUCCCUUUACUUAACUGCCGGGCAACUGCUAUGUCAGUGGAUUGUCUUGGACAGCAUGCGGUGCUCUCUGGCCGUCGUUUCCUCUACAUAGUUAACCUGGACGUGCCGACGGAAGGUCACCGCAAGAUCUCCCGUCAGAGCAAAUGGGACAUUGGGGCCGUGCAGUGGAAUCCACAUGACAGCUAUGCACACUACUUUGCAGCUUCGAGCAACCAGCGAGUUGACCUGUAUAAAUGGAAAGAUGGUAACGGGGAAGUUGGCACGUCACUGCAAGGGCACACGCGUGUGAUCAGUGAUUUAGACUGGGCCGUGUUCGAGCCAGAUCUGCUGGUCACCAGUUCUGUUGACACGUAUAUCUACGUUUGGGAUAUCAAGGACACCAGGAAACCUACAGUCUCACUCUCUGCAGUUGAUAGGCCAACACGAACAUCCACCACAACCUUAGCUCAUCUCCUGACACCCAGAUACCCUUGGACUCCCCACCUCCAUGAUGAACUCCCCUUCACUUCCAACAAUGAGCCACUUGCAGCGCACAUAUCUAGCGCCUUGGUCACACGCGAAUGCUCAGCCUUCACUCCAACCUCAGCAAGAUUAAAGUCCUGGAUGUUAGUGAUAGCUGGAGCCUCCCAGGUCAAAUGGAACAAGAAAAACGCCAACUGUUUAGCAACCAGCCAUGAUGGGGAUGUCCGUAUCUGGGACAAGCGGAAACCCAGCACUGCAGUGGAGUACUUGGCAGCGCAUCUCUCUAAAAUCCAUGGCCUGGAUUGGCAUCCGGACAACGAGUACAUCCUGGCCACUUCCAGCCAGGACAACUCUGUUAGGUUCUGGGAUUACCGUCAGCCUCGGAAGUAUCUCAAUAUACUCCCCUGCCAGGUUCCAGUCUGGAAGGCGAGAUACACGCCUUUCAGCAAUGGGUUGGUGACCGUAAUGGUUCCCCAGCUGCGGCGAGAGAACAGCCUUCUCCUUUGGAACACCUUUGACCUGAACACGCCGGUUCACACCUUCGUGGGACACGACGAUGUGGUGCUGGAGUUCCAGUGGAGAAAGCAGAAAGAAGGCUCCAAGGACUACCAGCUGGUCACGUGGUCUCGUGACCAGACGCUGCGGAUGUGGCGGGUUGACUCCCAGCUGCAGAGGCUGUGCGCUAAUGAUAUCUUGGACGGGGUUGACGAACUCAUUGAUGGGAUUGCCCUCCUGCCUGAGCCGGAUAAGACCCUCCACACCCAGGACUCUGAACCCCAGCAUAGCUCCGGGCAUGCAGACGAGGACGCUUUAAAGGAAGACUUCCAGAACGACCUCCUGGUGGGAAGAAAAUCAGACCAGCUGGGGUUGCCGCAGACCCUGCAGCAGGAGUUUUCCCUGAUCAACGUGCAGAUCCGAAACGUCAAUGUGGAGAUGGACGCUGUGAAUCGCAGCUGCACAGUGUCUGUGCACUGUGGCAACCAGAGAGUCAAGAUGCGGGUGAUGUUCCCUGUGCAGUAUCCCAAUAAUGCUGCACCCUCCUUCCAGUUUGCCCCCACUACCACUAUCAGCUCCACAAUGAAGGCAAAGCUGCUGAAGAUUCUGAACGACACUUCCCUGCAGAAGGUGAAGCGGAACCAGAGCUGCCUGGAGCCUUGCCUGCGUCAGCUGGUCUCCUACCUGGAGUCCGUUGUGAACCAGGAGGACAGCACCUCCAGCAACCCCUAUGCUCUGACAAACACCGUAACACCACCGUUGCCCACCUUCGCCCGAGUAUCUAAUGCCUACGGCUCCUACCAGGAUUCCAACAUCCCAUUUCCACGGACCUCUGGAGCCAGGUUCUGUGGUGCAGGUUACCUGGUAUAUUUCACAAGACCCAUGACAAUGCACCGUGCAGUCUCUCCUACAGAACCUACUCCCAGAUCUCUGUCGGCUUUAUCGGCCUAUCACAGCGGCCUGAUCACACCGAUGAAGAUCCGUACGGAGACCCCAGGCAAUCUGCGCUUGUACAGUGGGAGUCCCACCCGCAGUGAGAAGGAGCAGGUCUCCAUCAGCUCCUUCUACUACAAGGAGAGGAUGUCUCUUCGCUCUGCCCGGCGGCGCUGGUCCAUACAAGCAAUUAACGACUUCCCGAAAUCAAGGAGAUGGAAAAGCAAGCGUGAGGGGACAGAUGCCAACAACCGACCUAUUAAAGCUGCUGGCAAAGUCAUCAUACAGGAUAUCUCCUGCCUGCUUCCUGUGCACAAAUCGCUAGGGGAGCAGUACAUUCUGAACGUCAGUAACAUUCAGGAGACCUGCCAGAAGAAUGCCUCCUCAGCCCUGGCAGUUGGACGUAGGGAUCUCGUCCAGGUGUGGUCACUGGCUACGGUAGCCACGGAUCUCUGUCUUGGACCGAAGUCUGACCCAGAUUUGGAGACACCCUGGGCCCAACAUCCAUUUGGACGUCAGCUCCUGGAGUCCCUGCUGGCUCACUACUGUCAGCUCCAUGAUGUUCAGACCCUGGCCAUGCUCUGCAGUGUGUUUGAGGCGCAGUCCAGGCUGCAGGGGUGCGUGAGUUCCUCGGGACCCUUCCCUCAGCGCUCCUCCAACGUGUUCUCCCACAGCCGAUACCCCAGCUUUACGUCUUCAGGCUCCUGUUCCAGCAUGUCAGACCCUGGACUCAACGCUGGAGGCUGGAACAUAGCAAGCAAAGAGACAGAGCACACAUUCACCCCCUGGUGCGAGUCUUCGCCUGACGACCUCCGCUACGGAAACCUGACGUAUGCCGACCACCGGGAGCGCGAGAGAGAUCAACAUGACAAGAACAAAAGGCUCCUGGACCCUGCCAACACUCAGCAGUUUGAUGACUUCAAGAAAUGCUACGGGGAAAUCCUUUAUCGCUGGGGUCUGCGAGAGAAACGAGCUGAGGUUCUGAAGUUCGUUUCCUGUCCUCCCGACCCGCACAAGGGAAUCGGCGCACACAGCAGGGAGAUUCAGGAACAGAGCCCAACGCACGCCCUCUCAAGAGAGCAGAGAGCAGGAUGCGGGCCUCCGAAAUACAAGAUCCUCCUGCAACGUUAGCUGCAGCGUUGGCUUCGGAGGACAGUUCCCCCUGGCCUGGGCGCGAGGCACCAAGUACCUGUUGCUCACUGGGGCUGAGUGCAGAAGCAGGGUUGACAAAUGGACUCUUUCCAGUGGCCAGCUUAGACAUAAGGAUCCAUGAACAUCCAUCAUCUGCAAUUCCUACAACUUCAGAGUGAUCGGCUGGUCCCACCCGCAGUGCUGCAACUAAACAUACGUCAGAUGGUAAAUUACCUGGAUAAUAAAAAGACUUUCUUCAUCAUCCAAUAAAACCAGGGAUGAGUUUGUAAUGCGAACCAACCAAUUCCAGCUAGACUCACAGAUGAAAAGAUUGCUCGGUUCAUUUAAACAACUAAUUCUCCCUUUUGUCUUGUUCAGAGCAAACAUUUCAUGGACAUGGUUCUCAUUAUAACCAGACUACACUCCACCCAGCAGAGCAGACAUUGCUGGGAGGUUGCUGGUAUAAUAUAUGAGAAGGAAAUUAAACAAUGUGCAAAAAACAUUGACAGAAAAUUCAUUAAUUUGAGUCUUGAUGGGUGGAGCAAUGUACACAGUGAUCCAGUAAUAUGUGCUGGUGUGACAACAGAAGAUGGGGUUGUAUCUUACAAAAACAAUUGAUAUAUCAGGAAAUGCCCAUAUAGCAGAAUACUUAAAAGAAGUAGCAGUAAAAACUCUAAUAGGGUAUGAACAAAAAUUCAAGUGUCAGCUGUGUAACUUUGUCACAGUAUUGCAAAUGGAGCAAAGAAGAGAAGAAAUCUAGAAGAAGAUAAUGAAGGGCAUCUGAAACUUAUAACAUGGGCACUGGGCUCAUUUGACAUACGUUUUAGCCCAAGACUUAAGUACAGCUCCAAGAAUAAAGGAAAAUGUUGUUGAAAUUGCAAAAUCCAUCUAACAACCACUUUGCUUCAGCUUCCCUGAAGAGAGCCGGAGGGUCCAAACCAAUUCUCCCCCACGAUGAACGAUGGCAUCUUCGGAGCUGUUUAUUAAGAAUUGGCCUAUGCUGAUGACAAUUUUUGAAGAAACAAUUGCAGCCAAAAUAGACAACAUCGGACUAAAGAGAAAUGUAGACGACAUGCUAAAUAUCCUGAGCCCUAGUUCCAUAGCCUCGGACAAACUGCAGACGGACCACUGCUGCUUGGCUUAUGCCCUUGAAAUUCGGAAGGUGCUUCAAGAGAACUUGAAGAAAGAAAGACCCACCAACAAAGUCAAAUUGCAGGCAGUAAAGAAGCAGAUGGAUCAAGCACUUUCUCCACCUCAUUUUCUUGCCAAUAUUCUAGAUGCCUAACUGCUGAAGAAGAUGCUGCUAUGAAAUGGACAUCUAAUAAUCACCUGUCAAUCAGGCCAUCAGUAAAUUUCAGGGUGGGGAAGGAUCAGUCAAGUAGUACAUGUUUGCUGAUAAGAACAUAGGCAGGGCCAUACUGAAUCAGACCAAUGGUCCAUCUAGCCCAGUAUCCUGUCUUGUGACAGUGGCUGGCGCCAGAUGCUUCAGAGGGAAUGUACAGAACAGGGCAAUUAUUGAGUGAGCCAUCUGCUGUCAUCCACUUCCAGCUUCUGGCAGGCUGGUGAUGCUCUAAAGAAAGUUAGUGGUGGAAGGCACUAGCUGGAGCCAGAGCUUGUUGAAGGGCUAAACCAUCUUUUGACAGCAAUAGCUUCUUCUUCAGGCACAGAAAGAAUAUUUUCUUCAUUUGAAUUAAUUCAGUUAAAGCUAAGAAAUUGGUUGGCAGUUGAAAAAGUUGGGGAUCUCGUCUUUCUCUUCCAGUCAUGGAAUAAAAACAAAGAGGGAAGGGAUGAGAUCUACUAGUUUUAAAAGUUUGAAGGACAGCCUGAGUAAUGUAGGAGACUAUUGUCUCAUUUUCAAGAGAUUUAGGCAGGGUGGGAACUUAAGCUCCAGUCACUUUCACUUAGGCAUAUCUAAAAAUGUUCCCAGGCUGACCUGAAAUAAUCAGUUUAAAUCUCUGACUACAGUUAAAUGCUCUGUUUAAUAAAUCAUUUAGUUGUAAAUGUGAAACGUGUUUUGGUCAGAGAAGUUUACGUAUCUCAAACAUUUUAGGUUGUUUUGUUUAAUAAAAACAUAUUGUAUAUGC